Molecule: ribosomal RNA, 497 nt
Filed under: uncultured bacterium
Lineage: Bacteria
Description: partial 16S ribosomal RNA
Rfam family: Bacterial small subunit ribosomal RNA
Source: RNAcentral
GAUGAACGCUGGCGGCGUGCCUAAUACAUGCAAGUCGAGCGAACAGACGAGGAGCUUGCUCCUCUGACGUUAGCGGCGGACGGGUGAGUAACACGUGGAUAACCUACCUAUAAGACUGGGAUAACUUCGGGAAACCGGGGCUAAUACCGGAUAACAUGUUGAACCGCAUGGUUCAACAGUGAAAGACGGUCUUGCUGUCGCUUAUAGAUGGAUCCGCGCCGCAUUAGCUAGUUGGUAAGGUAACGGCUUACCAAGGCAACGAUGCGUAGCCGACCUGAGAGGGUGAUCGGCCACACUGGAACUGAGACACGGUCCAGACUCCUACGGGAGGCAGCAGUAGGGAAUCUUCCGCAAUGGGCGAAAGCCUGACGGAGCAACGCCGCGUGAGUGAAGAAGGUCUUCGGAUCGUAAAACUCUGUUAUUAGGGAAGAACAAAUGUGUAAGUAACUAUGCACGUCUUGACGGUACCUAAUCAGAAAGCCACGGCUAACUACGUG